AGCGAAUACAGAUGAAAGUCCUCUGUGUGCUUAGCAGUACUAAGUCAAUGUUUGACUUUAAUUAUUUUGCUCUAUGUUUGAGGGAAAAGGAGAGUGUGCAGUAAGAUUUAAAAAUAGUUCUCUCUGCAGUUGAAGAAAAUGAGUUUGAGAAAGGGAUGACUUUAGGUUUGUUAAAGAAUUUACUGAGGUGAACUUAUAGAGAUAUAAGAUUGGUGGUGAGAGGGUGGGGGAGAGGGGAGAUGAGGGAGAGAGAUAGAAAGGGAUAGGGAAGUUAAUUGUGAACUUAGAUUCUAGGACCACUGGAUUCCAUCCCCAGCACCUCAUAAGAUAGGCAUGGUGGCACACAACUGCAAUCCAAGAACGGGAGAGGUAGACUCAGGAAGGGCAGAAGUUCAAGGUCAUCCUCAGCUGCACAGUGAGUUCAAGACCAGCUCCUGUAGGUCAGGUCAACUGUUUCUGCGGGUGUCUGAAGCACCGUCUUGGCUCCAUUGCUCAUCCCUCCUCCCUCUCCACAACUGGAUUCCAGAAGUAUGGUUCAGUGCUUAGCUGUGGGUGCCUGUUUCUACUUUGACCAGCUACUAAAUGAAGGCUCUAGGAGUGGUAAUCAAGAUCCAGCGCACACAUCUGCAGCUACUGUGAGCUCAUGAUUGCAAUGGCUACAUGUGCAAUGUGGGAAAACAUGGAAGUCAGAAAACCACAUCUUCAAUGUGGGGGAAGCAAGCUGCUCCCAAUUACUCCAGUACUCAGUGGACAAGCCUGUGAGUGUAAGGGCAGCAUCAAGAGCUGCUGUCUUCUGGCAUCCUAAGUUGUGGACAUCCCUGUGGACUCUAAGGGAGCCCUAAAGAACUGAACAGAGAAAGAUGCAGGCCAAACACUCUGCAGGUCUCAUAUUAUGGGCUGGCAGGCCAUUGAAUUAUUAAAACAUCCUAUGAUUGUCACCAAUCUUUGCUUAUUCUUGAAACUUGUUAUUGCUUGCCAACAAACAGUUCUCACAGUAUCCUGAAGUCCCUAGUCACCAUGUGACAUGUAUCAGUGUCAUUCAGAGGCAAGUGGGGAGGGAGGAGAGAGUGGGAGGGAAGGAAGGAGGGAAAGAAGGAGGGAGGCAGGAAGGGAGGGAAGGAGAGAGAGGGAAAACUUGAGUUACAAUGAUGGUUAGUUUUAACCUUCAACUUGAGGCAAUCUGAGGUCACUUGGGAAGAGAGUUUCAACAAGCAAUUGUCUACAUUGGGUUGGCCUGUGGUUUGUGGUGGGUUAUCUUAAUUGAGGUGGGCAGGCCUGCCCAUUGUGGGUCCCGGGAUGUAAAAAUGUAGAGGAAGUGAGCUGAGUACUAAGCCUGAAUGCCCUCAUUCUCUCUCUGUCACUGAGGGUGUGGGUGUGACCAGCUCCUGCCACUGUGACUUGCCCCCAGUAGUAGACUGUAAGUAACCUGGAGUUGUGAGCGAAAAUAAACUUCCAUCUCUCUUAAGUUGAGCUCUACCUUGGCAUUUUAUCAC
RNAcentral lists this long non-coding RNA (1493 nucleotides) under Cricetulus griseus (Chinese hamster). RNAcentral describes it as "lncRNA (ENSCGRG00015036563.1)". Lineage: Eukaryota; Metazoa; Chordata; Mammalia; Rodentia; Cricetidae. The record is from RNAcentral.